CGACCAAGUCAUACUCAGAGUAGGCCUAUUGUAACAAAUGGACUGAGGUUAGCUAUAAGUUUAGUUUAAGUCUGUUAAUUUUAGUAGGUCUAUUCUGAGUAUGACUUGGUCC
Molecule: non-coding RNA, 112 nt
Organism: Podarcis lilfordi (Lilford's wall lizard)
Lineage: Eukaryota; Metazoa; Chordata; Lepidosauria; Squamata; Lacertidae
Source: the annotation of a GenBank genome assembly